This 73-nucleotide transfer RNA is filed under the name Cordylochernes scorpioides. RNAcentral describes it as "tRNA-Val". Lineage: Eukaryota; Metazoa; Arthropoda; Arachnida; Pseudoscorpiones; Chernetidae. The record is from RNAcentral.
UGUUCCCGCCCGGGAUCGAACCGGGGACCUUGUGCGUGUGAAGCACACGUGAUAACCACUACACCACGGAAAC